UGAGAUGUGCCUCAGUGGUAGAGCACCUGCCUUGCAUGGGCAAGAACCUGGAUUCAAUCCCCAGCACCUCAA
Non-coding RNA from Ictidomys tridecemlineatus (thirteen-lined ground squirrel), 72 nucleotides. Lineage: Eukaryota; Metazoa; Chordata; Mammalia; Rodentia; Sciuridae. The record is from Rfam.